This 4064-nucleotide long non-coding RNA is filed under the name Sus scrofa (pig). RNAcentral describes it as "lncRNA (ENSSSCG00040001081.1)". Lineage: Eukaryota; Metazoa; Chordata; Mammalia; Artiodactyla; Suidae. The record is from RNAcentral.
UUUUUUUUUUUUUCCCACUGUACAGCAAGGGGGUCAGGUUAUCCUUACAUGUAUACAUUACAAUUACAGUUUUUCCCCCACCCUUUCUUCUGUUGCAACAUGAGUAUCUAGACAUAGUUCUCAAUACUAUUCAGCAGGAUCUCCUUGUAAAUCUAUUCUAGGUUGUGUCUGAUAAGCCCAAGCUCCCGAUCCCUCCCACUCCCUCCCCCUCCCGUCAGGCAACCACAAGUCUCUUCUCCAAGUCCAUGAUUUUCUUUUCUGAGGAGAUGUUCAUUUGUGCUGGAUAUUAGAUUCCAGUUAUAAGUGAUAUCAUAUGGUAUUUGUCUUUGUCUUUCUGGCUCAUUUCACUCAGUAUGAGAUUCUCUAGUUCCAUCCAUGUUGCUGCAAAUGGCAUUAUGUCAUUCUUUUUUAUGGCUGAGUAGUAUUCCAUUGUGUAUAUAUACCAGAUCUUCCGAAUCCAAUCAUCUGUCGAUGGACAUUUGGGUUGUUUCCAUGUCCUGGCUAUUGUGAAUAGUGCUGCAAUGAACAUGCGGGUGCAUGUGUCUCUUUUAAGUAGAGCUUUGUCCGGAUAGAUGCCCAAGAGUGGGAUUGCGAGUUCUCCCUUAACUUUUAAAUUCAACCUGAAAAUCUGGUUAUUCUUAGUAAAUGUUAACAGCAAUCACUUUUAAGUAGGCUUUUUAAGGUCUCUUAAAUACUUAGCAUUUAGAAUUUUGUAACUUCUAUUUCCUUAAGUACUCUAAGUUUGAUUAAUCAACAAAACUUCCCUGAGAAUUUAAACUCUUUUACAUCUAAUAAAUUAAACUUACUGGUAAUCUUAAAUUCUUUUAAAUGUCCUGAUACUUUAUACAACCAGACUUUAAAAUCUUCUACCUUUCAAGAUUAACCUAAUAAAUACUCUAAAAGGCCUAAUUUUUUUAAACAUCACAAGAACUUAAAAUACAAAGAUCACAAGGAUAUAUUAUGCAGCACAGGGAAUAUAGUCAGUAUUUUAUAAUAACUGGAAACGGAGUUUAAUCUUUAAAAAUUGUGAAUCACAGAGUCUCCUGGUGGCUCAGUGGGUUAAGAACCUGGCAUUGUCAUUGUCAUGGCUCUGGUCACUGCUGUGGCAUGGGAUCAAUCCCUGGCUAGAGAACUUACACAUCCUGUGGGGAGACAGCCCCCAAAAACCUGAAUCACUAUGUUGUACACCUGUAACUUAUAUAAUACUGUAAAUCAACACUCUACCUCAAUUAAAAAAAAAUAAGAGUGGAUAGUCUUUACCAGUAAGAUUGGGCAACUGUCAAAAAAAACCCAAAAAACAAAAAAAACACCUAGAUCAUUCUUAAGCCAUCAGAGCAUAUGCUUGAGUUACUAAUUCAUUCUACAUUUGCUUUUAUAUCUUCAUGCAGUUAAAACUUUGACUCACUGGUAAAAACUCUGCCUUCUCAGACAAGGUUGCCAUCCCAGGCACUGAAGUUAAUUAUCAGAGCCUCACAAAAGAAAUGAUCUUACAGAUGCAUCUCCCAGAUUCAAAUUACAGAUAACCUAAUUUUUCCAUCUACCACUAAGAUUAUCACUAAUUUUUACUACUACUUAGUUAAUUUUGCAUAUCUUUGGACAUCUUAUGGUCAUUCAGUUGGGUUCUCCAUCUCUCUCAAGUUUUGUGACUAUAGUCACAACACUAAAGUAAUCUUAACAAACAGGAUUAAUUUUUUACAGAGCAGAAGAAGCAAAUGCUUUAAAAAAUAGAUUUGUAAGAAGUGUGCGGUUAGUCAGUCUGUGAAAUAUAGCACUUUAUAGUCUCUUAAUAAUGCAUGUCCUCAACGGUUGAUUUUAAACAGUAAUUCAAUAACAAUAAGAUAGGACAGUGAAAACCUACACAUCUCUUCUUUACAUUCACUUCGAGAUUAUAUCUAUUCAAAGAUUCAUUAAUUUUUCUGUAUUUGCCUUUUUUUUUUUUUUGUCUUUUGUCUUUUUUUUGUUGUUGUUGUUGUUGUUGUUGCUAUUUCUUGGGCCGCUCCCGCGGCAUAUGGAGGCCCAAGAAAUGGCAAAAAGACCAAAAAAAAAAAAAAAAAAGAAAAAGAAAAAGUGGUAAAACUGUUCCAUUUUCCUAUGUUACUCUUAUGAAAAGGUAAAACAAAAUAACAUCCUCUGACAGAAAUCAUUACUCUAUUUGGCAAAAAUAGUUUGGCAGGCUGAUAUAACGUCUUAAGAUGCUCUUGAACAUAAAUGCUAAUUCCUCAUGGCCCUAACUGUAGUUGGAUUUUUAAAACACCUCUAAAGAAACCAUUUUAAAAGAUCAGUGUUAAUGACCGACCCACAACAAUAGCUAAUAUUUAGUAAUGUAUCAAUCACUGUUCAAAUACCUUUAAUAUAUUAACUCAGUUACAUCCUUACAAUAACCGGAUGAGGAACUAGCAUUAAUCGUUUUACAAAAGAUCAAAUGAGAAAAAGUAACUCACAGGGGCACAAAGCUAGUAAAUAGCAGAGCGGAGUUCCAACCCAAGAAGUUUGGGUUCCAGAGUCCACUCAGUUAACCAGUGCACAAAAGUAGCAGAGAGAUGGAAGCCAUAUACUACCCAGCCAUAUUACUUGAUGAUGUCAAAUUAUUAAAAUCCAUUUCUCUUUCCAUUAUUGUACCUCAAUAAUGCACACCAUGCUAGCUAUCUCCCAAUUUUUUCUUAGUACUUCAGGCACUUUCAUAUGCAGUCUCAUUUAACACUCAUAACUACGUAUGUCUUUGUAUACUCAAACAGUUAUGAUUCAUCACAAGUUAUUUUACAACAAAAACUAAAAAAAAAGUGUAGCAACGACCCAGGUUUCAAACUGUUGGGUUCUUUAGAACAUUCACUAUAACUUGGGAUCAGGAAAAAAAUGAACAAUUCAAAAAUAAUUUUAAAGUGUAAUCAUUUAGGAUCAAUGGCAGUUUUGUUUUGUUUUUUAAUUUUCAUCUUAAUUAGCCUGGUGGAAGAUAAGCUAAUUCUCCCAAGCAAAUGAAUGAUUAACAGACGUUUUUAAAGGUGGUGUUCAAAUAUCGACAACUUUAUCAUUUAUUGUUCUACCAUAGUGCCCAGUUUUUGACGUUGGACGGAUCUGCCUAGGUCAUGUGCUUCUACUUAAUAGUUGCAAGACUUUGGGGUAAAUUUUUUAAUUGAGUCUUGGGUAUCCUCUUGUGUAAAAUAAAGAUAAUGGCUACUGUGAAGGGCUGUUGCGGGCAAUAAACAGAUCAUUCCGUAAAGCGUUUAUUUAGCACCAUGCCCAGCCCAGAGAACAGUCAAUAUAUGCUAUCUAUAUACUAUUAUUUAACCAAUGUGUCGCACAGCAGAAACCCAUCUUUGCUAAAGUUCCCUUACCACCCUUUUAUAAAAUUACCCUAAAUGAUUUCCCCACACUGCCCAAUGACCCAUUCACCCCUCCCAAGCCGAGCAGAAUGUUUAAGAACACUUAAGACGGUUCAAUGAAAGUGCUUUCGCAAGGCUCUAGAACGCGCACACCCACACACACAGUUGUAAAGCAGAAACCACGCCUCCUGCGUGUGCCCUGGUCAGGUCGCACAGCCUGGCAGAGAAUGACCCAACCAGGGCUCCAAAUUCUGACAGAUGCGGACUCGUCCACGUGCUUGCUACCUGUGCUGCCUUCAGGGAAAUUAAAGUCUCUGAGCCUUGGUUUCCUGGUCUGCAAACCGAGAAUAAUAAUAGUACCUACCUCAUAAAGUUGUUCUGAGGCUUAACUGCGGUAGCUCCCACAAACCGUCGUCGACUUAACAGCUCUGCACACUGGCGGGGCUGUUUUAAGUACACGUGUAUCCGUACACAAGGUCUCAGACACAUUCCGUUGUUAAAGGAGCUUAGACACUGACAGUAAGAUGUUUUUCUUUUCGCUUAAGCUGUACCGUUAUUUGUUUUCCUGGAACACCAGAAUAAAUAUCUAUCGAAUGGCAUGUCAUCUAUGGACCCCUGGGCCCACAGUCCCCACGGUCCCUCCGCCUCGGCGGCUGAGCCUAAGGGCUGCACGCACGCGCAAGGAGAGAGGUUGCGACUGAGGAAGCGAAGCGAGAGCGGCGAACAAGCGACAAUUCUGCGCAU